RNAcentral lists this ribosomal RNA (503 nucleotides) under uncultured bacterium. Its description in RNAcentral is "partial 16S ribosomal RNA". It matches the Rfam family "Bacterial small subunit ribosomal RNA", at positions 30 to 523 of the family's 1533-position model. The record is from RNAcentral.
AUUGAACGCUGGCGGCAGGCUUAACACAUGCAAGUCGAGCGGAGUGAUGGUGCUUGCACUAUCACUUAGCGGCGGACGGGUGAGUAAUGCUUAGGAAUCUGCCUAUUAGUGGGGGACAACAUCUCGAAAGGGAUGCUAAUACCGCAUACGUCCUACGAGAGAAAGCAGGGGAUCACUUGUGACCUUGCGCUAAUAGAUGAGCCUAAGUCGGAUUAGCUAGUUGGUGGGGUAAAGGCCUACCAAGGCGACGAUCUGUAGCGGGUCUGAGAGGAUGAUCCGCCACACUGGGACUGAGACACGGCCCAGACUCCUACGGGAGGCAGCGGUGGGGAAUAUUGGACAAUGGGGGGAACCCUGAUCCAGCCAUGCCGCGUGUGUGAAGAAGGCCUUAUGGUUGUAAAGCACUUUAAGCGAGGAGGAGGCUCUUUUGGUUAAUACCCAAGAUGAGUGGACGUUACCCGCAGAAUAAGCACCGGCUAACUCUGUGCCAGCCGCCGCCGUAA